RNAcentral lists this long non-coding RNA (1104 nucleotides) under Nicotiana benthamiana. Its description in RNAcentral is "long non-coding RNA (NBEN_LNC007768)". The record is from RNAcentral. Lineage: Eukaryota; Viridiplantae; Streptophyta; Magnoliopsida; Solanales; Solanaceae.
UGACGUGGUCCGAGAUAUGUUUUCACAAUGUUGCAAUUCUCUGUAAAUAAUAACAAUAAUAUUUUGAAUAAAAUCGGUAAAAAGUAAAAUUGGCACGUAGUUUCUUCAUGUAAUAAAAUCAGAUAAAUAAGCUAAAUACGACAGUUGAACGACCGUGAUAGAACCACGGAACUCGGGAAUGCCUAACACCUUCUCCUGGGUUAACAGAAUUCCUUAUCCGGAUUUCUGGAUCACAGAUUGUUAAAUAAAGUCAUGCUUUUCCUCGAUUUGGGAUUAAACCGGUGACUUGGGACACCAUAAAUCUCCCAAGUGGAGACUCUGAUUCUUUAAUAAAUAAUUCCGUUUCGAUUGUCCUUUUGGUUGGAAAAACUCCUUUGCGCCCUCGUAGUGUGGAAAAAGGAGGUGUGACAAUCCCCAACCAAGAAACCGGGGCAAAAGUUGUGUUUAUUAUAAAUAAAUUCAGUUUUGAAGGUUGUAAUUUUGAACCCAAGUUGAUGCAUUUUUUUAGCCUUUAAUUCCCUUUCUUUCUAGCCUAUCCAAAUCCCACAUUACGGUUGAAAGAGAACUUUCCGAUCAGUCUUCGAAAGAGGCCAAGUCAGGCAAAUGGGAGAGUAUUAUCAGAACAUAACACUCCGAUCCCCGACGAAAAAACUCCGACUCCAGCAGAAAAGACUCCGGUCCCCUGCAGAGAAGAUACAUGAGAGAGUCUUAUCGGUGAAAACCUUCGCAGGCACCAUAAGGUGAUGAAAGCUGAGAGAAAAAGCCAAAAUGAGAGAGGCUUGACAGUGAAAACCUUCGGGCACUACAAGUCGAAUAAGGGUGAGAAUCAGAUGGGGAAUCUCCAAACGAGGAUCUUGAAAGACGAUUAACGACGGAGGAUAGGCCACGUGUGCAUGUUAUGACCAUUAGAGUCAGUAUCCGCGUUUGAUAGGUUUUUAUUUUAUAGUUUCUCUUGUUAGAGAGUCAUCUAUUUUCUUUUAUUUUGUUUCUUUUUACCUUUCUCCCUUCAUAGAAAAUUCCCCGUAGAGUCUGUUCGGUCUAAACAAGUGAGAAAUGACUUCAAAAUAUGUCAUCAGCUUCCAAUUAGGCAAGACGAGAUCUAAC